This 408-nucleotide ribosomal RNA is filed under the name uncultured bacterium. Its description in RNAcentral is "partial 16S ribosomal RNA". It matches the Rfam family "Bacterial small subunit ribosomal RNA", at positions 28 to 526 of the family's 1533-position model. The record is from RNAcentral.
GACGAACGCUGACGGCGUGCUUAACACAUGCAAGUCGAAGGGAGUGGCGAACGGGUGAGUAACACGUGAGUAACCUGCCCUUUUCUUUGUGAUAAGCCUGGGCAACUGGGUCUAAUACUGGAUGGAUUGGGAUGGGCUCGCGGCUUAUCAGCUUUUUGGUGGGGUGAUGGCUUACCAAGGCUUGGACGGGUAGCCGGCCUGAGAGGGUAGUCGGUCACGCUGGGACUGAGAUACGGCCCCGACUCCUACGGGGGGCGGCAGUGGGGGAUAUUGCAGAAUGGACGAAAGUCUGAUGCAGCGACGUCGUGUGGGGGAUGAAGGCCUUAGGGUUGUAAACUCCUUUCGCCCGCGGAAUGGUAGUGGGUAAAGAAGCGCCGGCUAACUACGUGCCAGCCGCCGCGGUAAUAC